Molecule: small RNA, 167 nt
Filed under: Sphenodon punctatus (tuatara)
Lineage: Eukaryota; Metazoa; Chordata; Lepidosauria; Sphenodontia; Sphenodontidae
Description: TUC338 (ENSSPUG00000011351.1)
Source: RNAcentral
UUGAUAGCUCUGGAGAGUCAGCUACCGCUUAGCCGCUUAGCAGGGACAGCACGCCAGUGGCAAUCCCAGCGUCCCUCACGGCAUUGCCUCAAUCCAUACUUGAGGGACCACCUCUAGGGUUAAAAGGGCAAUUCAGCUUCCAUGACUCCCAUUCAUCCUUGGCUUCU